RNAcentral lists this ribosomal RNA (486 nucleotides) under Triticum aestivum (bread wheat). Its description in RNAcentral is "partial small subunit ribosomal RNA". Lineage: Eukaryota; Viridiplantae; Streptophyta; Magnoliopsida; Poales; Poaceae. The record is from RNAcentral.
AUGGUGUUGUGCGACCCCUUGCACCGGCGGUGUCUCCUGCUUCCCCCAAUCCCCGAUGACCUAGCCGCUUCGGUCGUUGACCAACUCCUGAUAGAAGGGCAUUGCUUCGCCGAGACCUUCCUCGUCCCUCCCAGCAACGACGACGAGGAGGCAGCAGCUGCCACGGAGGAGGAGGGGACAUCAUUCAGGGUGAUCUGGAUGGUGCUGUUUGAAGCUAAACUCGUGGCCGCUGUCUUCUCUUCCGGCACAGGGAAAUGGCAAACCCUGAGUCGGAGCGAGCCGUUACCUGGCUUUUUGUUAUCGACGUGGAAGUUUUGGUUCGUGUCGCGCCAUUACGCCCAUGGCUGCUUCUACUGGGUUUCAGGUUCAACUGAAAAUUGCUGGUGCUUGACAUUCAGAGGAUGGAAUUCUCCAUGGCCGACCACCCACCCGGUGCCAGACAUUCGGGCGAUGAUGUGGCCAUCGUGGAGGCAGGCCAAGGCAUGA